This 208-nucleotide long non-coding RNA is filed under the name Elaeis guineensis (African oil palm). RNAcentral's name for it is "long non-coding RNA (EGUI_LNC006060)". The record is from RNAcentral. Lineage: Eukaryota; Viridiplantae; Streptophyta; Magnoliopsida; Arecales; Arecaceae.
CAUUUGAAGAUCAUGACAAACUAUAUAGCAUCCUAACAUUUGAAAUUAAAUAAAUAAAAUAUCUAAAACUCUAAUAGAAAUAAUAAGUAAUAAUAUAAAAUACAACAAAAAUAUAUAGUUUACAAAAAAAAUCUCACAGUACUACAAAUAAAAAAAUACUAAAUCCUAUAAAGAUGUCGUGGUACCCGUGGCUGUUGAGAAGGUCCUC